GUAAGUUUUCUUAUUUAAUUAGUCAAAUUGGACUUGCUAUAUUAUUUUGUUUUCAUGUCAAAAUAAUAAAAAUAUUUUAGAAAGAAAUUUUGUGAGCCAGGCGUGGUGGCGCACGCCUGUAAUCCCAGCACUCGGGAGGCUGAAGCAGGAGGAUCACUGCAAGUUCAGAUCAGAAGUCCGAGCUUCCUGGACGAAGAAGGAUACAGUGACCUCUUUUUGCUGGAGAGCAGAGAGAUCAGCCAGGCCUCUGCUAGACGCCUGGGAGGGUGGCUUUCACCGCCUCUCUCCCGAGAGAUCCCACGCGUCCUAUUUCAGGAGCGCCUGCACCAAGCGUGUUGUUAGAAUCUGAUUUCCACGGCGCUUUUCCUGCUAACACCUCAGGUCCUCCAAGCCCCUCCCUGUUCUAUUUCCGGAAGGUGUUUGUCUCCGGGACCCCGGGAGGGCUGGGGGCACAGCCCGCCCCGCCUGCAGUGCGGAGCCUCUGGCGAGCUGAGCUCCAGGGGAAGAGCAUUAUCCCCCACUGCUGUCGGCUGGGUGCCUGGGAGGACUCCGGGUCUGCAGUCCUGCUUGUCCUUUGUGCGUGGGGUGCCUCCUUGUACCCCCGGGGGGGCUGUGACUGUCCCCGCGGUGCAGGUCACCAAAGUGAAGCUGGGGCUCAGUGCGCAUAGCUGAGAGCAGCAGGGCGGAGGGAGGUGGGCCCUGAAAACAGAGCUGAAAGGCACCACCUUGCUCCGGAGUUUUGCUCCUGCACAGCUGAGAGGGCUGAGGAGGGGUGGGAGGCGGAGGACCUUUAGCACGGGCCCACGUGGAGGGCUGGGCCGCAGCUCGAGGAGGGCGUUUGCCUGGCGCGGUGAGGUCCUGGGUUCCAUCCCCAGGGCUGGAGGACAGGAGGGAUCCCCAAGUUUCAAACAGGGGCAGGGAUGGGGCCUGGAGCCCAUGGGGAGCCUCGGAGAGUCCAGGAGAGUGAGCGAGUGAUGGGGGAAUCUGGGGGGAGCCUCUGGCAGCCCCUGCCGGCUCACAUGGGCCCUGUGGCUGUCCCGGUCUGGCAGUACCCCAAACCUGGCUGUCGCAGGUCCCUGUGCUCGGGAGCGCGGCCUUCACUCUUCUCCUAGAGUUGCCUUCCUCCCUAAAACUGGAGAGGCAGGGUGUCCCCGAAUCCCUGGGGUGAGCUCUAGGGGUCCCCCGGAAGCCUCACUCCUUGUGUUCCCGUCCCGUGGCCCCUGUGACAAAUGACGGCAGACAUGGAGGCCCAAACCACACAGACUUGCUCCCCAGUCUGGAGCCCUGCUGAGCUGAAGCCUGCUACUUUCUAGAGGCAGAGGAGGAGGAGGAGGAUCCACUGCUCUGCCCCUCCCAGCUCCUGCAGUGCCUUCCCCGACUUCAGAACCCACUGUGCGAUCCCUUCUGUCUCUGUCUCUCUGCUCCCCUGUGGCUGGCUCACUGCCCCCUUCCAUGAGGAGACGCCCCUGGUGGGGUGCAGCCCGGAGGGGCCAGAUUCUGUCCCCAGCCCCACCAGGGAGAAGCUGCCUGCAGGGUCCUUAAUGAGUCAAGAGGCCCUGUGCCCUGCAGGAGACACAGCCCUGGGUGCUGAGGAUUAGGGCGCAGGGGUUUCGGGGGCCAGGGCCCGGCCUGACACCCUCUCCUGUGCUCCUCGCCACAGACCUUCUGGGAGACUCAUCCUGCUGAGGCCCAGGAACCCCAAGCCACUCCCCUGAAUGUCUCGGCGAUGGCGGCGUGGUCGGUUGGUCGGCCUUUCACAUUUCCCUGUGCUGCAUUUCUGAAACCUGUGUUUUGACGGUUCCCACUAAUGAGCUGGUUCAGCAGAUUCUUUCCCCCUAAAUUGCAAAGACAACGUGACAGUUCAAAAAAACAGAACAAAGAACAUGACAUGUGGAGACGCAGAAAUGUCGAGGUGAGCCAGGCCAUUGUGCUUCUGGUGGCACUGACAUCCAGGGUCACUCCUGAUGGCUGCACAGUUUCUGCUGUAACAUUCUCCUGGUGAUUCCUGUCCUCAUGCAUAGAAAGGUAUCUCUUAGCAAGGUCACACACACACACACACACACACACACACACACCCCUGCACACCAGCGUCUCACUGAGAAGGGCAAGAACCAGUGGCCGGCAGGUGGGCAGCAAUUAAAGCUCCAAAGGAACCAGAGGGCCCAGCAAGGAGCGCAGUGGGCCCUGUCCUCAUUCCGUCACUGGGGGACUCUGACACCAGAGCCAUGGACUCGGCUAAGCCAGAGCCUCUGCGGUUGCACGCAGAAGGAACCCUGAAAAUGCAAGGUGGCUCGGACGGCUCUGUCUACACCGCACACUGCAGAACUACGCAGUUGAAAGCAGCCCUCGCUGUUCUCCAGGAAGAACGGCUGGCAUCGAGGCUCUUUGUGGCCUGCGGCCUGUGCCAGGCAGGGUGCCGAGCCCUUCGCUAGGGGGUGGGCUCCUCGUAACAGUGCCGCCCGGUGCGCUCCAGGCCCUAGUUCCGUCCCCUGUGCCACGAACAAAAUGAAACCCCGAAACACUCGUGAAUCCUCUUCACCCAGUGAGGCGGGCACUACUGAUCCCACUGGGCAGAUGAGGAAACUGAGGCCAUGAGCUGUGGACCCCCUCACUCCAGGCUGUGAGCAGUGAACUACCAGGCUCCAGAUUCUGCCUAGAGAAGGGAGGAAGAUGAGAUGGAGGCACCAGCUCCGCAGUGAGCCUUCUUCUCAUUGGCCCUCAGCUCUGCCCCGUGCGGCUGCGUGUCGUGGGUGAACGCAACACUGCUGAUGCCACUGGAACCUCUCUGGAGACCCAAGCUCAGGUCAUGACCCCAGCGCUCACUCCGGGAGCGGAAUAUCUGAGUCCGACCCCAGUGUUUCCAGCACCCAGGAGAGGGCGGAAGUCACUUCCGUGGAUGCACAGCCCAAGGAGAGGCUGCAGGCCGAGUGGGGGGUGGAGAGCAGCACAGAGGCCAGGAGGGGCUCCGAAGGCUGGAGAGGAAGUGAGGACCCAGUCCAGACAGUGCAGAUCCCACGAAGUCGCCACGGACCAAGAGAAGACGGAAUCACAGGGCCGCGUGGUCAGGGGCCGGGGAAGUAGGGAGGGUGAGGAGGCCUCGGUGGGCUCAGGCAGCCAGGUGGCUGGAGGCGGCCGUGCCCCGAGGUGGGGACAGCGUCCAGGGCUGCAGGGGAGGUGGAGGCCCGGAGCGUGGAGCGGCAGCACAGACCUGGGCUGGCCGCGGGGUCGGGAGCAAGGCGGAGGAGGGUGACACUGAGAAGGGGCCCGGAGGCCAGGCGGGAGAGAGGCACAGCAGCGGCCGGCGAGGGUUUGCAGACAGGGGGCUGGGACAGUCCCUGAGGACACUGACUCUGGAGGUGACAGAAGAGGCCGCCGGGUGUCAGGGGCCUGGAGAAGGCUGCUGUGCCUCUGGAAGGGGAGGACGCCGGCUUCCUGGACGUGCGGUCUCUGGGACCGUGUGCUGGGGUCACCUCGGGGCUGGAAGGCAGAGAAGGCCUUCAGUGGGUGGGGUCGGGGGUUUGCAGCGAAGCCGUCCUUGGGCUGCCACAGGUGCCGCAGUCACGGGGAGGGGAGGAGAGGGGCAUGGGACAAGGCCAGGCCAGCUCGGGGCCUUGAGGUCCCUGGGGAGGGUGACGGGCGGGGGCGGGAGAGCUCGUCCAGGGCACAGUGCAGUCCGUGCCGGGCCUUGGGGUCUGCACUUUUGGUUGCAGUUUCUUUGCAGUCACUUGGGCUCCCUGCCCCCCAGCAUCUCCCACAGGCCAGGGGUCAGUGGGGAAUCAGUGGCCAAGCCGCCCCUCAGGAGUUUGGGGUUGUUUCAAGCACUCUGGUGCACGCCUGUAGUCCCGGCACUCGGGAGGCUGAGGCAGGAGGAUCACUGCAAGUUGGAGGCCAGUCUGGGCUGCACAAACGUGGGCAAGGUCGUCACCAAGGGCUGCCGAUACCUCGUCCUUGGCCUGCAGAGCUUUGCCGCUGCCUACUCCUCCCCGUUCGCAGUGGGCACCAGCGUGGUGUCCCUUGUGCGCUAGAGGACCCUGCGCCUUUCGGACUUGGACUCGCAGAGCACGAGCACUGAGCACCGGAUGAGAAGCUGCCUUCCUUGUUGGGUCGGAUGGGUCAAGCGCCAGCCAGCCUGCCGCCUCCAGCGGGCUGCCAGACACUGGCCUGAGGGGCCCACCUGGGGCCAGGGGAGUUGGUCCCUGGGACACUCAUCCUUCGGGGAAGGCGGCAGGGUGGGCUGGAGACUGAUUUGGGCAGGGUGGGCUGGAGACUGAUUUGAGCAGCGUGGGCAGCCGAUGGCCGCUCCAGAGCAGGAAUCUCCUGCACAGGGCGCGGGCUCCCGGGCCGCCCAGGGCCCUGGCUUCCUGACUUCUGAGGCUGAGCAAAGCAGCUGUUUAUUUCUCAAGUCAUUCUCUCCCACCCUGUCACUCCACCACUCUGUCAAGGGAGUUUCAUCACAGGCUCAGGAAGAGGGAGGGAGGGAGGGAAGGAAGGAAGGAAAGGACAGCCUCCCUUUGAAGGCGCUGAGGAUUGCCUCCUGCAUUCUCAGCUGGGCCACAGAAGGGGGAGGAAGCCUCUCCUCGGUGCCUGGACCCUGGGAGAGUGGGGGGCACAGGAAGCUGGGACGGGUGAGGAUUCAGAAGAGGAGCCAGAAAGUAGCAGACGGUUGGAGGAUGUGGAAGAGGGCAGGAAGGGUGUCAGAGGAGCAGCAGGGGCAGGUGGGGAAGUCCAGUGUCGGGGGGCCCAGGCAGCUGGGGCUGUAGUUCUGGGGGACCGGGGGGGCUGCCAGGGCCCAUGGCGGGGCUCGGCCCUCUGUGGCCCGCAGGCUCACACUCGGGUGUGGAGCGCCCUGUCCUGCCCUGUGCAACCAGCUGACGCGGACUCCCUGGAUCCCGAGGUUGGGGUGCUUGAGGUCCUGGCCCUGUCAGCGCAGCCUGCACUCUGAGUUGCUUGAGGGAGGUGGAGGGUGGAGAAGAUCCCUCUGCCCUCUGCUGACCCCUGCGACAGGCUGAGUUCCAGCUGUGCCCAGAAUAUCCAGAGGCCUGGAUGCUCCUGCCUCAGCCACCCAGCCCAGCCAGGGCCCGCCCGGGGGGGCAGGGAAGCCGUAGAGGGACGGAUGGAUGGAUGGGCUGGUGGAGAAAACGGUGACUGGAGGUGAGGUAGGGUAGAAGGAAUGAAGCCAGGGAAACGAGGCAAAGACCAGAAUUUUAAAAUUGUGUUUUUCAGAAAAACUUCAGCUUUAGGACACAAAAGUUGCUCAAGCCUUUUUUCCUUUCAGGAAACUCAAUUUUUUUUUUUUUUGGUACCGGGGAUUGAACUUGGGAACCACUGAGCUCAAUCCCCGGCCCAAGGAAACUCAAAUUAUUUAUCCCCAAGGGCCGUAAAGAUACAAUGAGCCUGUAAAUUGGGCUUCCAGGGGCCUGUAUUUUUUACUUUUUUUUUUUAGGACAGGGUCUCACCAUGGAGUUCAGGCCAGCCUUGGACUCAUUAAGCAACCCAGGCUGGCCCCGAAUUCAUGGAAAUCCUCCUGCCUCAGUGUCCAAGUGCUCGGAUUACAGCUGUGUGCCGCUGUGCCUGGAUUUUACUUGUUUACUAUACUUUCUCCCACAAACUUCUACCUUCAGGGAGGCAGCAGUGUUAGUGGGCGGUAGAUCCCAACUUCGGGCUUGUGGAAAUCGUGUUCUGAUGAGCAACGUGACAGACAGUAGCAACACACAUCCCAGGCACCCCUCUCGGCCCGCAGGCCCCAUAACUGCGCCCAGCUCCGACCAUAGGCACCCCCCCCCCUCCAGGACUCGCAGGCUGUGUGUGUCUUUCAAUGUACGCUUUUAAAAUGUUUGUCUAAUAAAUUCCUUCGUGCCUCUUCUAACAUGUCCUGAAAAUUCCUUUUCCAAGCUGGAGUCAGUAGGGGUACAGCUUAGUCCUCGGGUAAGGCUUGGGGGUCUCCCGGGACCCCAUGCUGCAUCACAGACACGGAUCCUGCGUUGGCCAGUGCUGCAGGUCAUGUGCACACAUGGGAGAUCACCGAGGGCAGAGUGUGGAGCAGAGAAGGACCUCAGGGCCCAGGGCCUGCUGGCCCCCUGAGGGAAGCAGGACCCCUGCACCAGGUCCCCCGGUGAGUAGGGUGUCGCCUGGGGAGGGGGCCAGGGACUUCCCUGCCCCCCAAGUUGGAAAAUCCGCAAAAUCAAGCACAUCUGGCCCUGAACUUCUGAAGGUCUGGUUAAGAAUUAACUCAGAAAUGUCACAAGUCAGAGGCUCGCGGGGCUUGUCCUGAGGAUCGGGCUCACAGAGAGGACUUCACCCAGCUCCCAGUGCCCAAGGGUCACCCCCACGGCAGGGCCGAGUGCUCCCUGCGCCUACCCCAUCAAGUAGCAGGUCGCCUUUUUACUUUGCUCUCUGAUCGUCAGUACCACGGCCGCUGCCCUCCUGGGAACCGAGUUCUAGAGCUCUCCCUUGGGCCCGUGGAGCACAGCUUCUUCCCUAUCCUUUCCUCGGCCUGUGAUGUGAACAAGCUCCAGCCUGGUCAGUGUUUCCGUGCCAAGGCUGUUUCUCCCUCACUUUCUUCCUUGCCUGGAAACCUGGUGCAGCAGGUGACAGCCAGGGACAGGUGGUGGAUAGAGGGGGACCGGCAGGGUCCACAGCUGCUCCCAGGGAGGAGCCCCUACUGGGCUGGUGGGAUGGGGUGAUCCUCUGGAAGCCUGAAGGGUAGGCUCCCAGGUGCAUGGGCCCACAGCCUGAGUCAGCUAAAACCGAGAGCCUUGGGUUGGGUUUGGAGUCCAGCAGGGGCCUGAGAGGUGAGGCUGUUCUCUGCAGGGCCCCAGUAGCGUCUGUCAGGGGACCCCUGGGAGGGCCUGGGCCAGCCGGUGUGUGCCGGGCCUGCCUCUCACAGAUGCUCAGGGCAGCCACAGGGGGGACUUGCAGCAGGGGAGAGGUGCUGGCCUGCUUUGCUGUGGACUGCGCAGUGUCCGUGUGGAGGGGACCUGGGCAGGGAGGGCUGGGGCUAGGACACUGAGAAUUCGCGCUGCCACUUUGCCCGCACUCCAUGGCCAUUUCUGCAGCUGCUGUUGCUGCUGCUGCUGGCUGGGAGUUUUGUCCCCCAGCCCAGCCACCCAUUGUUUACCCCCGGCCGGGGCCAAGUCCCAGGGCUGCAGGAAGUCACUCCGCACAAUAGCAGCCUCCCUGGCAUCCGACCUUCUGGCCAUGUGACCUUGGACGAGUUCCUCAGCAUCUUCAGAUUCCAGGGCUUGGCUCAGUGCCCUUUGUAGAGCAAACGGUGUUUACCUCCAAGGCCCACUCUUCAGAGCUAAGUAUGAAGGCUGCUGAGAACCAGGAGAAGAAGGCAGGGGUCAGGAAGCUGGCAUGGCGAUGCCGCUCCCCCUGCAGCCGGCCCCAGCUGAGGUCCCCCUCUGCGGUGACCCAAGGGCUGACCUCAGCCAAACUUCUCGGCCAGGCUACUCCUGCCCAGCAGGGACAGAGGUCCCACAGCACCAGACAGGAGUAAGCCCACGCCCACCUUCCCUCCUCACACUGACGGGUGUCUUUCCCCACGGGUUAAAGCACACAGAGGCGCUUCUCUGAGUCUGAAGAGCCCUUUGUGAGGCAUAAGCAGAGGCCUUGACCAUUUGCAACUUUGAUGACAACUUCUGUCACAACACAGGUGUCCUGAGAGACUGGCGAGGACAGCGCCCUGGGGACUGCGGCUCUGAUGUCCUGGCCUCCCUGGCUCCACCCCCUGCGGAAUCUCGUCUCUGGCCCCAGCUUUGGUUCCUGGCCUGGAAACCUGCCUGCUGUCCUCAGAGAUUUCAGCCUGUCUUGCGUUCCUUUGUCAGUAAAUUCUCUUAGUGCCCUGGCCUUGGAGGGAGGCAGGAGCCCCUGGAGCCCCCAGGUGGCUGGGGUGGGAGGGAAAGGAGAGGGAUGCGGCCUGCUGGAGGCCUGAUCUUCCCAGGCCGUCUGCUCUCCUUCCUUGGAACCUGAGGGUUGGGGCUGCAGGAGCCAGGCAGGCCGCUGAGGAGCUGAGGGCAAGGUGGGGUCUGGGGGUUGCUCACCGGAGCCCCAGAAAGGAGGGGCUGUGGGUGCUCAGCUCUGCUGGCCACCAGGCAGGGCGCCUCGCCCUGAGCCUUGCUUCCGAAGCUGAGUGCAUGUCUGCAGGGCAGACAGAAGGGUCAGCCCCCACCUCCCCCAGCAUGAGGAGCUCGGGUCAGACAGUUGGGCUGGGACCCAGAGAAGGCCUGGCCCGCAGGAGCCUCGGGACAAAGCUCGUGAGGCCUCCUGGGUCGUAACAGCACCGACCAGGACCGGGAGGCACACGCCACAGAGCCCCUGCCUUUGUGCAUUUAUUCCUUCCUCUGAUGCUGAGUUCGAGUCCUGGCUGUGUCUUGGGCCAGAGUGGUGUCAGCAUGGGGUUCACCAGGCAGCGUGGGAUUGGCGUGGGGAUCUGUCAUGGGCAGGGGCUCUGCCUCCCUGAGCCACCGCUUCCCACCCCUCCCUCGGGUCACAGCUUGGAGGGACAGCGUCAGGAGCAGGACAGAGGGGCCCUUCCAAGGGUGAGCCCCUGUCCACCCCGAAGACAUCCCAGGAGGAAGCCAGUAGACUGGGGCUGAGGUGAGGGUGAGCAGCUCGGGACUGGAGGGAGGAUCAGGGCACAGCUCGGCCAGGGGUGUCGUGAGCGCAGAGCCCGUGGCACAGCCGCGUGGGCAAAGGUGGCUGCGGGGAGGAGGGGCAUUGUGCUGUGGGGCCAUUGAGGCCUCGCUCUCCACCCUGCUCUCAGCCGGGGCAGCGUGGUGAGGAGCAUCAGGAGGGCAGCACCGCCGUCCAGGGGUCCCCUUCCCUCCCUGGGCCGGACACGGAGGGUACAGUAGUGAGGCCGAGGUGGACGGCUCGUCCAUCCCUCCCGGGCCCACCAUCCUGAGCCCAGCGCUUCAGCUUCCUCCAGCCUCGGCCCCUGGCCCUUGGCUUUUGAUCACUGAUUCUCCUUUGCAUCUCAAAGGUGCCCUUUCGCUUCCUAUUCUGCUCCCUCUUGACCCAGGCCAUCUGCAGCCCCCUGCAGAGGAAGUAGGACAAUGAGCCUGUUUUCCCAGCACGGCAGCGGCCGGCGCGGUGCGGACUUUGUUUUCCAGCCCUGCUGCGCCCCACUCUGCUCCUCCUGGCCAAGGUCCGGGCAGGUCGGCCGCCCUCGCCCCUGCUUUUGCCUCUGCUCUGGCAGCUUCUCUGGCCAAGCUGAAGGUCCCUGCACCUUCACACCUUCCCUGAUCUCAGCGUCUGGGGCGGGCUGUCUUCAGGCGUGUGUCCCCAGGCUGUCCCCAAAAUGUUCCCAGCUUGAGGUUUGUGUGGAGGGGGCGGGCUCAGUCCCCAGGGCAGCAGGACACCAGCGGACGGGGGACACAGAGGGAGGCCUCAGGGCCCGGGGCGGUGCCUGCUCAGUGAGACGCAGAGUUGGAGCCCAGAGGGCCCUGAGCUUUAGCACCGCCCUAAGGUGGGGCCUCCCCCGCCCAUGGGAGGGUGCCCGCUCCUCCCGGUGCCCAGCUGUGGCUGCCCGGUCUGUGCCCUCUGUGUGUCCCCUGCCCCCGGACUGCCGGAGCUCAGAAGUGAGAAGAGUGAAGAUGUGUUGUGUCCAUGUGCCACCUCCCUGUGAGGACCGUGAUCAUGACAUGCGGCAGACACCUGCUAAUGAGAAUAAAAAUUAAGGAAGAAAAGGAGCUGUUUCUCCCAGGCCUCCAUGCCCGGCAGGGAGGAGCUUCGUCCCCUGCAGAGGUGGAGCAGCUCUGGACAGGGACCAGCCCGCCCUGCCUCCCGUGGCCCCUGAGCCGACCGAGGGAGUGGACCCUGCCCCUCACGGUCUCUGCCCUUGGGCCCUGGCCGGUGGCUGUUCUGUCCUGAGUGACUGAGCAGCUCCACCUGCCUCCUGGUUUUUGUGCUUGGCCCUGGCUGUGUCCUGGGGAGGAGCCCUCAGGACUUCUGCAGAGGGAGGGGACGUCGGCAGGGCUGUCAGCUCCUCCACCCUUUCACAGAAGGACCCAGCCACACACACGUGAGACCUGGUGCCCUCCAGGGAGCAGAGCACAGAGACCCGGUUAAUCUGGGCCACCUCUGCGAGUGCAGAUGCCACAAAAAUCCCUGGGCUGCAGGGCUGGGGACCCGCGGGGCACUGAGCGCCCCCAUGCCGGGAGGAGGCUCAGCCCAGCUCUGUGGGGACCCCCAGACCCUGCCUGUGCCUCUCUUCAUCUGGCCGCUCCUUCGGGUCCAUGAGAUCAGAAACCGCAAACAUCGGCAUUUCGGGGGACUCUGUGAGCCGCCCUAGCAGCCUGCUCAAACUUGGGGGUCAAGGAGGCCCCAGUUUAUAGCUGGUCCACCCACAGUACAGGUGACAGCCUGCCACUGUCUUUGUCUGACGCUGGGGCCGUCUUGGGACAGAGCCUUCGCCAGGAGAAGUCUGAGUCUCAGGCCUGGCUCCUGGGUGCUCCCAUAACAGGUCCACAUUCUCUCUACUUUUUCAGGCACUCAGUCAUUCAACAAGUGGACCUGAGCAGCUCCCGGUGCCCAGCCCAGGGCCUGUGGAUCUCCGUGUUGGUUUUGCCAGAAUGCAGGAAAGACUUGGCUUUGCUGGGCCUCCAGGGGUUGCUGGCCAGUAGGAGGAGUCGCCUGGGGCCCGGGGAGGGGUCGGCUCUGACCUCGCAGGCCCAGGCUCCGCCCUCGCAGGCGCAAGCUCUGCCCUCCACAGGCGCAGCCUCGGCUCGCAGGGCGCAGGGCGACCUGGGGGUUCCUCCGCAGGCUCCCAGGGUCCCCAGGUCCGAAAGCGCUGGCCGUGGCCGUGGUGGGCCGCUUGCGGGGAACUCAGUAGAUCCCUGCGCCACAAAAAUAAAAUACAAGUGCAGAAAGUUUUAUUUUGUGAACACUUACCGUCUGCCUUCUGAAUAGUCAUCUCAGAAUACUUAAAAAUGGAAGAAAGUAAAAAUAAUGGUGAUUCUGCAACCCCACGGGGGCGUUUGCCAGCGCCCGGUGCCUUCCACCGCCGCCCCAGUGCAGCUGCUUGCGAGGUGCGGGGUCUCCUAGUGCCGCGGGGCCGGAGGGGCCCGCUGUUCUCUGUGUGGACCUCUGCAGGGUCGUCCCGGACCACACCGCCCUGGGCACGGGCCGGGGCCGGGGCAGGACAAGCCAGGGACAGACGCACCGACACAGGAUCAACCAUGGGGACCAAGGACAAACAAGCUCCGGGCGCUCAGCCUGUUACUCGGGAGGAGCAGGAUUUGGUGCUGACGCUGGCAGCAUGUGUACUAAAGCUGGAAUGAUACAGAGCUCACCACAGCUCCUGUGCAAGGAUGGAGUGCAAAUUCAUGACGCUCUCAGAGGGGGAGGGGGAGGGGGAGGAAGAAUUCUCCUUCUGGGCCGAUUAGGUCUUAAAAUAUUGGUUUUACUAUUAAAACAAACCCCCAAACAGAAACAAAAACCAAAACCUGAAACCACGUGACUCUUCACUUGGUAUGGGUAACUAAAAGCAGAAUAAAGCUUGACCUGCAGUUGGUAAAACUCUGGGCCAAGUUCUUCUUUGCUCUGCAUAGAGACAUUUUGGUCCUUUGGGAAGCAUCCAUCUAAAAGUUGGCAAAACAAGGUUUACUGGCCCCAGAUUCACCUCGUCCCCCUUUAAGACUGAGGACGGCAAGAGUACCACAGUAAGUUUCAGGAUUUGCCGGGACAGCCGAUGGCCAGAUUUUGCAACAUCCAAUUCCAGGCCUCCCUGGAAUGCCACCCAGUCUCCUGACCUGUCAUCAGCCCAGCUUCCAGGACAGGCAGAGCUGUACAGACUCCCCCACGAUGAGGCACCUGCUCGAAGCAAGAACACUAUUACAGCUGUCAUCAAAAAGUCAGAUUAUGCAUGUACUGAAGAUGUCCAGAGGCUGGACUCCUGCAUUCCAGCUGGAAAAUGGUCAGGCCAUUUCUCAAAAUGCUACCCAUGUAGUUGGUAUUUGACCCAGCAAUUCUGUUCAUUGGUAUCUAUCUGUGAAAAUGAAAACGUGUCCACACAAAACAUGUGCACAGAUGUUCAUAGCAGGAUUAUUCAGCAUGAGCAAAACAUGUAAACAAUCCAAAGGCCAUCAGCAGAUGAAUGGCUACACAAAAUGCAGUGUAUUCACACAGAGGGGGGCCAGGGAUUUAGCUCAGUGGUUCUGCCGCCUGCCUCGCAAGCACAAAGCCCUGAGUUCAAUCUCUGGUGCCAGAAAAAAAAAAAUCAAUUGUCACAUAGUGGGGUACUAUUUGGCCAUAAAGAGGGAUGAAGCAAUGCUAUAUACUAUAAUGGGGAUGAAUUUUGACAUUAUGGAGAGAUCCAGUCACAAAAGGCCACAUCUUGUAUGCUUCCCUGUAUGGGAAAUGUCCAGAAGAGGCAAAUCCACAGAAAAAGAGCGAGAUUAGUGGAUUCUAUCUAGGGUUGAAAGAAAACGGGGUUUGACUGCUAAUGAGUACAUGGCUUUCUGAGGUGAUGAAAAAGUUCUAAAUUUCAUGUUGGAGAUGUUUGCUUCAUCUGGAAGAACCUGUUGGUUGAGGCCACCACAUCCGGGGUGGUUCUUCCCUCCUCAGUUUCCAGCCUACCUGUCAAUCAUCCACAGACAUGCCCAGAGCUUUACUGAUCUCCUGGCCAGUUGUUUCUCCGUCACGUCUGCACUGACAUAUCGUAGUUAGCGAUCACAGAAGACUUAGUCUAAUCGGAGGUUGUGAGGAUUUACAUUGUUAUUUUCUUUUAAGACAGAGUUUUAGUUUUAACUCUUUCAAGUAGGCCUAUCAACCGUUCUGCAUUAGACUUCUAUAUGGGGCACUUUGAACAUGAUAUCUAGCUAUUUCAGCGCCAAAAGUUGGAAAGAAUGUCUCAUCCAUACUGAUUUGUUUUGGGGUUCAUCAAAAAUCAAUUAAGCUUGAAUAUAAUUUAUUUCUGGAGUCUUCAUUGCAUUCUGUUGAACUGCAUGCCAAGCUUUGUGCCAGUGCCGAAAAUGUCUUGACAUUUGUAGCUGUGUAUUGUGUUUUGAAAUCAGGGAGUGUGAGUCCUCCAAGUUUGAUUCUAUCUUUCAAAUUGGUUUUGCUGUUCUUGGUCCCUUGAAUUCUAUUUAAAUUUUAUGAUUAAUUUGUCAGUUUUUACCAAAAAAGCCAGAUGAGAUUGUUGACCAGAUAGCAAUGAAACUGUAGGUCAAUUUGGGGAACAUUAUCAUCUUAUAGCGUUAAGGCUUCCAAGGCCAGAAGCAUGAUGUUUUUCAUUUAUUUAAGACUUCUGGAAUUUCUUUCAAUAGUAUUUUGUAGUUCUCAAAAUACAAGUUUUACACACCUUCUGUUAAAUUUAUUCCUAAUAACUUAUUCUUUUUUGUUGUUGUUGUUGUUUGUUUGUUUUUGUUUUGUUACCAGGGAUGGAACGAGGGACCUUGCGUUUGCCAGGCAAGCGGCAGAACCACUGAGCUAAAUCCCCCGCCCUAACUUAUUCUUUUUGAUCUCAUUGCAAAUGUAAUUUUUCUUAAUUUCCUUUUAAGACCAUUCAUUUAAUAGUGCAUAAAAAUACAAAGACUUUUUGUAUAUUGAUUUUGUAUUCUGCUACCAUGCUAAUUCACUUACUCUCUUUUUUUCCAUCACAGUAGGAAUUGAACACAAGGCCCUCGCCCUGAACUACUUCCCCAGUUCUUUUUGUAUUUUUAAAUUUUGAGACAAGGUCUUGCUCAAUGUCACUAAGUUGCCCAGGCUGGCUUGAACCUGCAAUCCUCCUGCCUCAGCCUCCCAGAAUGCUAAGUUUAUAGUAUGAACCACCAUGCCCAGCGUACUUAUUAUCUUUGAUAAUAUUUUUUAGUGAUUACGUAGGAUUUUUUAUAUGUAACAUUAUGUUACCUGUGAGUAGAGUCUGGUCUUAUUUUUUCUCUUCCAAUAUGAAUUCUGAGUAUUUCUUUUUCUUGCCUAGUUGCUCUGGCAAGAACUUCCACUGCACUACUGAAUUAUAAAACAGCAGAAGCAGACAUUCCUGACUCGAUCCUGAUUCAGGAGGAAAGAAGGCAGUCUUUCACCAUAGGAAUGCUACGUGCUUUUCUCGGAUGAGAUUCAGAUUGAGAAAGUUCUUUCCUAUUCCUAAAUUAAUGAGUAUUUUUACCAUGAAAGGAUACUGGAUUUUCCCAGUGCAUUUCCUGCACUUAUUGAGAUGAUAGUGUGUUUUUUGUUUUUUGUCCUUUUUGUGGCCUUUCUAUUGACAACUUAUAUUACAUUAACUGAUUUUUGGAUGUUAAACCAACCACAAUGCUGGACAAAUUCCACCUGACUGUAUGUUGUUGGACUCAGUUUGCUAGUGUUUUAUUGAAGAUUUUUAUACCUAUAUUCAUAAAUGAUAAUGUUCUAUAGUUUUCUUUUCUGAAGGUGUCACAGGAUAAUGAUACAUCUGGCUUUGGUAUCAAGAUAAAGCUGGCCUCAUAGAAUGAGAAGAGAUUUUUUUCCCUUCUCUUUAAUUUUUUUUUUUUUUUUUUGGUACCAGGGAUUGGACUCGGGUCCUUGCGCUUGUGCAGCAGGCAGCGAAACUACUGAGCUAAAUCCCCGGCCCCCGUUCUGUUCAAUAUUUUGAAGAGUUUGUAAAAGUAGGUUUUAGAACUUAAAAGUAUUUUGGAGAAUUCACCAGUGAAGUUAUCCAGGCCUUUGUGGAAAAUAAUCACUAAUUUAAGUUCUUGUUAUAGAUCUACUUAGGUUUUCUAAUUCUUCCUGAGUCACUUUUGUCAGUUUGCAGUUUUCUAGAAAUCUAAUUUUGUCUACUUUGUUUGACUUGUUGGCACAUAGUUUUCUUCGUACUCUGUUAUAAGCCUUUCAUUUCUGUAAGAUUGGUACUGCUGUCUCCCAUCUUUAUUGCUAUACCUUAAUUUACUGUAUGAACCACCAGAAUGUAUUUGUUCUAUCUGCUGUGGGUAGAUAUAUGGGCAGUUACCUGGCCCAUUCUUCCAUUCUUUGGUUUCAUAACAAUUGUUCUUAUAUGCCAAGGACUCCUCUUUCUGGUGACAUUUCUUGGGAGCCUCAGGAUAUUGCCCAAUGAACUUGGCACAAAGAAACUUGGAAAACAUUUCUGCUUUCACCCUGGCCACACUGAAGGCAGGAUUGCUUCUGUCUUUGACCCUGAGAUCUUCCCAGAUCUGGCUGGCAUUCCAGGAUUGGCUUGUGGAACUGGACUUUGCACCUUGUCAGGCACAUGAAGGCAGUAAAUGUUCCUGAGUGUGCACAGGUGUGACCACAUCCCUAGAUGCUUCUGUGUGGGAGGCAUGGGGGAAGGUGGGGAACGUCCCGAGGUGGCGUCUGGUUGGAGGAAGUAGUCACUGGGGGCUGCCUUGUGAGGGUAUGUUUGUCCCUGGCCUCUGUGGCUCUCUUUCUGCCCCCUGGGCCCAUGAGCCGAGCUGCUUUGCUCCGCCUGGCCAUGGACCUCAGCAAUGCAACCAGUGAACCAUGACCUGAGCCCUGAAACCAUGAGCCAAAACAAGUCUUGCUUCUUUUAGGUUGAAUUCCUCAAGUAUUUUGUCACAGUGACAAAAAGCUACCAUGUUUCCUGACUAUAAUAUUCUCUGAUUAACUGACUCUAUCCUCAUGUUAUCACACACCUGACAAGCUUGUAAUAAGGAGAGCCGGAGUGGGGAGUUUUUGUUGCUUCUUGUGUAAGUUUUUUUUCCUGUAACAAAAUGCCCAAGGUAGCUAACUUGCUCAGUUCUGGAGGUUUUGGUCCAUGGUCAGGUGGGUUGCUGGUUUGUUGGUUUGUGUGAGGUAGGACAUCGUGGAGGGGACAUAUAACAGGGGAAUUUUUCACCUCAGGAUGCCAGAAACCAAAGGAGAAGAGGGUCAUCCUUCAGGUCACCCCAGAUGACCUAACUUGCUCCAGCUGGGCCCCACACCUUAAAGGUCAUACCACCUUCCAGUAGCACCAGGGACUGAGGACUGAGAUUGUCAUGGAAGGGCCUUUGGGGACAUUUAUCAGCCACGACACUUCUCAUCCGAAUCCCAUUGACCUUUGGAAGCUUUUCAUUAAUAGGCCUAAUAAUUAGCUAGAGAAAUUCCAGGGCCUGGACUUGUGGGCUCCCAGGGUGACCCCAGAAACCACAUGGGUUCCUCCAAGGAGUCAAAAUCCUAAAGUGCAUACAUUACUGCACAUAUGGUGGGGGAAGCUGGUUCUUUUUCGCUGUCCUCAAGUAUUUAAACAAUUUGUCAAAGCUUGGACUGGAAGGGAACAUUGAAAACCAGUGUACUUAGAGCAGGAAAAAUGCAGGGUGUGAGAGGAAACAUUUGUCCUCACAAUGGCCUUUGAGUAGGGGAGCCAAUUGGGCAGAAGAUGAAUUCUUCAAAUUUAAUGAAAUUAUUCGUGCAACAAAAGAAGGAAAUAAGAGCUGUGUAGGGCAUAUGUGAGAUUUCCUCUUCCUUUUACUGGACAUCUAGCAGAGUCCCGGGCUCUGGCUGGGCCUUUCUGGUUCCACAGCUCUCAACGCUGUCCUGGUACCAAGGCAACUCCCUCUGAAAAUGCUCAGUGAGGAGAGAACCUUCUUCCUGACCCUGAAUCCCUCCUUUGGACCUCUGUGUGUCACUAGAUUCCAACCCCCUCCCCUCGAUCUUCACUGGGUUCCACUUAUAUGCAUGUGUUUGUACAUUUGGGCACACAUGUUUUACACAUUUGACUGUAAGCUUCUAGCACUUUGUAAACCUAGGAGUCUUGCAUAUAAUAAAUAUUUGGUCACAAUUUACAGACGUUACUAUUAACUUUUUUUGGUAGUACUGAGGACCUGCAGAGGACGAUAGCAUUGAUUAUGCCCAAGGCAGGCUGUGAAGAGCCAACCCCACAGUCAGCUUGUUUAUAGAAGUGAGUCCGGCUGAAGCCUACGUGCUGAGGUCAGAGUAACUCGCACCCAAAUUCCUUUCCCACAACUACACCUUCAGACUAGAAGGACAGUGUUCUAAUCACAACCAUGUAUUUUGUCUAUUCUGUUCCUAACUUGAGAGUGCCAUGUCUUGUCCUUCACAAGCCUUGUUUACAUUAAUUUCCAUAGAAACCACUCAUAGCUCACCUUUACCCCAGUUGAUUGUCCAUAAAAGUCAGUGCCUGGGACUGGCCACUGCCUUUGUUGGCUGCACCAGCACUGGUUGUCCUGGCCCCUGAUUUCUCUCCUACUUCUGUCUCUUAGUGCAUUCUUUUCUCAGGCCUGCAUCACACACUGGCCAGGUGGGGACUGGAACCUGACCGCAGGGGUCUCCAGCAAGGAUCAAAGCCAGGUGCUCUGCCAGUGAACUACAUCCACAGCCCCAUUCACUUACUCAUUUAUUUAUGUAUUUAUUUAGUAUUUUGAGACUGAGUCUCACUAUGUUGCCCAUGUAGUACUGCAGAUAGGUAGGUUAAUUAGAUAUCUUGUAGGCAGUUAGACAGGGCCAGCCCACAAGGAGCCAACAUGGAGGAGAGUGAAGACACAUUCACUGAAGGCCAGCAUUGUAAAAGGAGAGAAAUUAGCCUACCCAUGUAAGAUGAAGAGCAGUGACUGAUGUUCUAAAUAGGUAUAAAUCACCUGGAUGGGGGGCCACGGUCUUACCCCAGC
Molecule: long non-coding RNA, 17555 nt
Organism: Heterocephalus glaber (naked mole-rat)
Lineage: Eukaryota; Metazoa; Chordata; Mammalia; Rodentia; Bathyergidae
Source: Ensembl